RNAcentral lists this ribosomal RNA (483 nucleotides) under uncultured bacterium. RNAcentral's name for it is "bacterial SSU rRNA". It matches the Rfam family "Bacterial small subunit ribosomal RNA", at positions 8 to 537 of the family's 1533-position model. The record is from RNAcentral.
AGAGUUUGAUCCUGGCUCAGAACGAACGCUGGCGGCAUGCCUAACACAUGCAAGUCGAACGAGAUCUUCGGGUCUAGUGGCGCACGGGUGCGUAACGCGUGGGAAUCUGCCCUUUGGUUCGGAAUAACAGUUGGAAACGACUGCUAAUACCGGAUGAUGACGAAAGUCCAAAGAUUUAUCGCCAGAGGACGAGCCCGCGUAGGAUUAGCUAGUUGGUGUGGUAAAGGCGCACCAAGGCGACGAUCCUUAGCUGGUCUGAGAGGAUGAUCAGCCACACUGGGACUGAGACACGGCCCAGACUCCUACGGGAGGCAGCAGUGGGGAAUAUUGGACAAUGGGCGAAAGCCUGAUCCAGCAAUGCCGCGUGAGUGAUGAAGGCCUUAGGGUUGUAAAGCUCUUUUACCCGGGAUGAUAAUGACAGUACCGGGAGAAUAAGCUCCGGCCAACUCCGUGCCAGCAGCCGCGGUAAUACGGAGGGAGCUA